CCUGGAAGUCAUGUUAUGUAACAUCACGUGAAAUCAAACACCAGCCACUUUUGAAAGUAAUAAACUUAAAGGAUGAGGAAGCAGAAGUUAAAUAUCUGUUCAAUGAGAAACAGCUAAUAACUUCUUGACUUUAUGAUCUUUCUACUGUAUUGUGGAGCCACAUAUAAUCUUCUCUUUGACCAGGAGAGAGUAAGAAGAGGCUGGAAAGAUAUUUGCUGAUUUGGGUGAAUUAAGUGGAGAGACUAGGAACAUCAAAAUCGGGUGAGAUUGCCAGCUACCUAACAAAUCUGCAUUCAAACCAGAGGGCC
Molecule: long non-coding RNA, 308 nt
Organism: Symphalangus syndactylus (siamang)
Lineage: Eukaryota; Metazoa; Chordata; Mammalia; Primates; Hylobatidae
Source: RefSeq, a predicted model, not a curated record